UCUGGUGGAGCGCUCUCCGCUGCCUUUAGCGCACGCACAACCCCGAGCAGAUGCUCCAGGACCGGCCGCUCUGCAAAGGGAACAACGCGGGAGGGUCCCAUCAUACCCACAGUACCCUCACCCAGAGCCCCCAGACUUCCAGUUACAGCCUUCAAUCAGAGAAUACUGAAGGAAAAAAAAAGAAAAAGAAAGAAGGAUCAUUAAAGACUGAUCUUGACUGAGAACAGCAGCUUAAGGAUACUGUGGUAAAGCUAGAUUUCCACUUUAAUCCCCACCUCCAAAUUUUCCCAGUGAGCCCAAGCCUUGGCACAGGAUCUGAGAGGUAGGAAUCCUAUCUCUUCUAAGCUCCAAACGAUUUGAAGGUUGUAUCAAGAAGAAAGGUCUCUGCCUGAAUACGACAGGGAGAAAAUUCCACCCUAUGACAGAGAAGGCAACAGAGGCAGCCAAGCAGCCCGGAGAGAAAAACUGGGACUGGCAUUUGGAGCAGGAGCCUGGGACUGAUUAGGUAAGGAGAAACAGAGGUGGUGCGGAAAAAGCAGAGAGAAAGUGCUCAGCAGAGGAGCCUGGAGGGGAGAAAAGGGGCUGGAAGGGCAAGGAUAACAAAAUCAUCUAAUACUGUCAGCCAAGAGCAAGGGUACAUAAUUUCAGAAUGUCCAUAAUAGCUGGACUGAAUUUCAUGUGAAACAAAGUAAAAAUUGUGCAAGUCAAGAUGUUUUAUUUCUGUAUUGUUAACUUAUGUACUUCAGCUUCUCUGUUAAGUAUUAAUGUUUUUUAUUUUGAAUAGAAUUUGUUUUCUGAUGCUAGAAAAUAAAGAAUUUAAUGACCUUCAAGACAAGUAUUUCUGAGCAGAUGCAGAACAUUUAAAAAUGAUUUUUGUGUGUGUGUGACAUCAAGGUAAAGAAAUGUGCUACUCAUUUGGUGCUAGCUGUAAUAUCAAAUGCUCAGAUGUUAGGGCAACAUCUACACUGAGGGUGACAGAGUUCCUCAGUUCUGCCUCCCAACAUUGAGAUACACGACCACACAGAGUUCAUUCCACCGAUUUCCCAAAACACAAAUGAAGCCUUGCAAUGUACGUCUCCUCUGUGGGCAGGGCACAAGUUCCUAGUUUUUAUUCACUGUAUUUCCAAUUUGUCACAGAACUGGGUACUGUUCAUAGACAAGGCAGACAAUUACAGGGAGAGAAAGCAGGGCCUUAUGGCAAUGUGACAGCAGAAUUUUGCUUGGAGAAUGUGAAUCCAUUCCCCUUUCACCUCAGUGCUUCUAUAAUGUGCAGAAAGUCAUCACAAGAUGUAAUAAUUAGCUGAGAUUUUUGUGUUAUGAGAGCCCACCAUGAAAUUCUGGAGUUGAAUUUGCUGAAGCAAAUGCCUAGGACAAAAUCCACGGGACUGUACAUUGACAAUGCCAAGGGAUGCAGAAUGUCAAACAGGCUGAAAAAAACAAGUAAUCAGCAUCUCUAAUUGGAUACUCAAAAUUAGUGGGCACUUCUGACUUUAAUCUCAUUUAGUUGGAGCACAGAUUUAUUAACAAGGAUAAGACUAUCUCAUUGCUUCAAUUUUUUUGUUGUAAAGGAUGUUUGCCAAACACCCAGACACUAUACGUCUUGUGGCUGGGAGAGGGUCAGCAGAAAAAUAACAGUGCUGGGUUCAAACUGGGGUUUAUGUGCCCCAAACAAAACCUACAGAGUCCCAUACAGUUAAAACUCAGCCGCGGAAACUAACUCCUGCUAGCCCUGUCCCAGGUACUACCCUGAAUGACAAAGGGGUGCUGACAAAAGUAUCGAGCAGAAAAGUCCCACCACCCUUUCAAAUAAUAUUCUUGUGGGUUGUACAUGAAUAGAUGAAACAAAGCGGGUUUUUUAAAGUUAUCUUUUGAAAAGGAAGGAAGUGAGACCAUUAUCCAAAAGCUCCUCGAACUCAAUCAGCUCAUGACCAUGUCCACUGCACUCUGGGGUAGAACCUUUCCCUAACUCCAACCUGACCCUUACCAACACAGCUCCAUGCCGAUCCCUUGGGCCCUGUUGCCAGGUAGCUGAGGUCAGCACUAUCUCUCCACUCCCCUUGAGGAGCUGUAGGCUAAUACGAGGCCUCCCCUCAGUCUGCUCUUUUCCAGGUUGAAGUGAAUUCUGUGAUGAUUUCUGCUGCUUAGAACUAAAUACAAACAUUAACAUCAAAGCCUCAAAAAUCCCCAGUCUGAUACUUAGCCUUCACAUCACUUGCAGCUUAAGUUGUCUAAAAAGCACAAAAACAUGGCAUUGAAGAAAAAUGUAAGGCAUAAAAAAAUAAGUCAUAACAACAUGACUUGCUAGUGAUAAACAUCAACAAAGUUACUACAGAUAAAAUUAUGAAUCUAAGUAGAGGUUGCACUGCACCUUGCAAUUCAAAGACAGACAAAACAAGCAAGGUUGAAAUAUCCUUCAUGUUAGUGGUAGAACACCACAGAUUCAGGGGUAUUAGUGAUAUCUCAAUCACUUUAACAAGUUUUUUUUUUUGGUAUUUUAUUUUAUUUUAUUUUAUUUUAUUUUAUUUUAUUUUAUUUUAUUUUAUUUUAUUUUAUUUUAUUUUAUUUUAUUUUAUUUUAGAGAGUUGAAUGGUAGCAGAUUGAUAACUUUUAGACAGUAUUUCAGCUCAUUUGCUGAUCGGGUGCAACACAAAUAACAUUUCUGUUUUACCCAAGCUAAGCAUCAUAGCAGUACCAGCUAUCUGUAGGGAAAUGGUGUAAAGUCUCCAAAAGUUUUCAGGUCGAUGAAAGAAUCAUUAACAACUCAGACCGCUCUACAGUGAGCUGGAUUUGCACAAGCAAUGGGCAAAAAAAGGACUUGAACAUUUAAAGUUCUGUUUUCUGUAUUAGAGAGAAGUUCCAGAAUCACUCUCCUUUGUAGUGUAAAGAUAGUAGCACGAUCACCAGGCAUGUGGUCCUGACCUCAGACUGAGGAUCCUUGGCCUAGAGUCAAGCAGUCCCUGCAGUCACUGAAACAGCCAAAUUAACUGUCUGCUUAGCCAUGGAUUAAAAUUCAUCCACUGAUCCAAGACAGUAAGUGAGACAAUAAUUUGUGACUCCUACUUUGCUUCACAGCAGAUCCUCAUUUAGAAUAAAGCUAUAGUUCAGCGUGAGUUUUUAUGCUGAGAAAUAAUCAUGAUGGCAUUGUAAAAUUGUACCUGUAAUAAUUUGAACAAAUGGGAUAAAUAAAUGCAAAUGUAAAAGGAGCAAACGGUUCCAGUUUUCAGUAAUGCAGAGACUGUUCAAGAGCAGAGGAUAAAGAUAGCUUCGGGAGCCCUGAUGCAAUCAGCAGUCACUAUUACUUUGAGUAGUAACUCAUAACAAGUAAAGUACCAUUUCCUCUGAGUAGGAACUCUUCAACAUUGCUUUUACCACCACAACUUAACUCACUGCUUCUCUAGCAAAUCACAGACUUGAUUGAAAUAUUAUUGACUAAAUUGCUUAAUGCUUUCUAGAGACCUAAAAUACGUGAAGUACCCAGUGCACAGAUGUGACAGCUAAUUUCAAAACCAAGGACAAAAAAACCAACUGGCUAGAGAACAGAGGCUUUCUUUUUUAACAUCUCUAUUAGAUGUCACACUUGGCCUUAGUGACAAAGCAAUGUAUGCUCUAAAGUCCAUCAUUUUUAUACUAGCAUACAAGACAGAACAACUAGCGCAGUCUCAGUUACACAAUACAAGGAUGGCUGUCUGCUGCUGAGGAACUGAUUUUGAUCCAAAUAACCACAAGUGUUUGUAUGUCACAGACAGAAACUCAAGGUGUGUUAUCCGCAUCUCCAUAGAACAUCAUCAAUAAAAAAAACCCAACAACUUCAAGACACAGUAUGAAAGUCAAGCUAACAUAAAAUAGUGUAUUUACUUCUGUGCUUUUAUACACUAGAUUAUAAGCCUUUUCACACUGAUAAAUUUCCUCAUCAUGGCCAAUAAUAAUUAAAAAAUAAAAAGAAAGAAAAAGCUUUUUCUUUUUCUCAGUAUAUCUGUCCAAGUCAAAGAUCUGAUAUUUGUGUCAAUAAAGAUUUACUCUUGCUUGUGAUGAUAACCCAAUACCAUCUCACCUCUGUGGUGACCAUAUCUCAAUGAUGAGUGGAUAGAUCACUGUAAAAGUAUGUACCUACUCUGAGGUACAGUAAUCUGACCGUAUCUCCAUGUAUCUUGGAAGGCUCCAAAACAACAGUAGGGGUCAUGAUAAAUCAUUUGAGUAUAAGGUUAAUGCUCAUUGCAAUAGCAUUGCAAUAUUUCAUAGGUAUAUGUGCAAAGGCAAAGGUUUUAUUCAUAAAUACACUGAUGAUAUAAUUGCCUUGGACCCUCCUAGCAUAAAUUUAGAGAGAGGAGUAAAAUAAAAGAUGACUCUAAUUUUCUGGCUAUGAAGAUGACUCUUCCUACCAGCAGUGGCCGGUCCAUCUUUGUCACACUCGGCAUUACAAAACUCCCCACUCGCUCACCCGUAUCACCACCAGAGAGAAGGUGAAAGGCAGAGCUGUCUAUGGAAGUAAAUUUAAGAUGAUUAAGAUAGUCUGGACUUGCUGUGUGGCCUCAGUAGUUCACUCAUGGGAAGGCUUGCCAAGACAGAAAUGGAAGUUAAGCACCUAGUCCAACUCUCACAAUCAAAAGGCAACUUCCCUAAAAGCAGCGUGCCUGUCUUUCAUGGGUUCAAACUCAGAAAGAGCUGCAGGAUUUAGACUAAUUUUUAUGGUGAGGGAAUUUUUCAGUUUUUGAAUUACCUUUUUGGUCACACAUGGUAACUCCACGUUUAUGUGAAUAAGGAAAGCAUACAGGCCUAGUUGUAACACCUCAGUAAAGAAGAGGCAAUUGCUUGAGAUGUAGCAGCAAAAAUUUGUGACUCUUGGUUUAGCUCUCUUUCCAAAUAAUAAAAAUAUAUUUAAAACAAAUAUCCAUGAUAAGAUGUACUGCCAACAAUAAUAAAACUGUGGAAAUCUCAUAUAUUUGAGAUAUAGCUUCAAAUAGAAGCUACCGUAGAAGGAUUUACUCAAUGCUUUCAGCAUGAUACACAUACUGAUUUCCAUCCUACAGUAAAUAUGGGCCAGAACAACAGGUCUCAAAUCUCCAUCUUCUGGAGGUGAUGAUGAUGAAGAACUGUAUGAAGGAGGAUGAGGCUGAAAGUGAGACAUCCUCAUGAGUAAUGAUGCCAAGAGGAAUAAAAAUUGAAAUGACUUCCCACGCCAUCAUACAAAUCUUGAACACAGUCCUAUUUUAAUGAUUUUCUUACUGUUAUUGGAACCUGAAAAUUAAUUAUAUUCUUAAUAAAUAAACGUUUAUUUCAAUAUACUUCACUAAUACUUUAACACUCCUCUGGUAUUUGAUUCAUUAGAAUGCAGGUAAACUUUGCUUAAAUAUAGAGAACUGUAGAGCUAUUGCUAGCAUUGUAAUGUAAAAAGCUGAGGAAGAGCAUUAAAAAAAAUCUAGAAUAAAUUAAAUGGUUAUUUGUUA
Long non-coding RNA from Coturnix japonica (Japanese quail), 5444 nucleotides. RefSeq lists it as uncharacterized. The record is from RefSeq and is a predicted model, not a curated record. Lineage: Eukaryota; Metazoa; Chordata; Aves; Galliformes; Phasianidae.